GCAGUCGCACGAGAAGGGGCUUCGGCCCUGAGUAAAGUGGCGCACGGGUGAGUAACACGUGAAUAAUCUACCUCCGAGUGGGGAAUAACUUCGGGAAACCGAGGCUAAUACCGCAUAACACUUACGAGUCAAAGCAGCAAUGCGCUUGGAGAGGAGUUCGCGGCAGAUUAGUUAGUUGGCGGGGUAAUGGCCCACCAAGACGAUGAUCUGUAUCCGGCCUGAGAGGGCGCACGGACACACUGGAACUGAAACACGGUCCAGACUCCUACGGGAGGCAGCAGUGGGGAAUUUUGCGCAAUGGGGGAAACCCUGACGCAGCAACGCCGCGUGGAGGAUGAAGUCUCUUGGGACGUAAACUCCUUUCGAUCGGGACGAUUAUGACGGUACCGGAAGAAGAAGCCCCGGCUAACUUCGUGCCAGCAGCCGCGGUAAUACGAGGGGGGCAAGCGUUGUUCGGAAUUAUUGGGCGUAAAGGGCGCGUAGGCGGUUUGGCAAGUCUAAUGUGAAAUCUUCGGGCUCAACUCGAAGUCUGCAUUGGAAACUGCCGGGCUUGAGUAUGGGAGAGGUGAGUGGAAUUUCCGGUGUAGCGGUGAAAUGCGUAGAUAUCGGAAGGAACACCUGUGGCGAAAGCGGCUCACUGGACCAUAACU
RNAcentral lists this ribosomal RNA (650 nucleotides) under uncultured bacterium. RNAcentral's name for it is "bacterial SSU rRNA". It matches the Rfam family "Bacterial small subunit ribosomal RNA", at positions 57 to 741 of the family's 1533-position model. The record is from RNAcentral.